Long non-coding RNA from Centruroides sculpturatus (bark scorpion), 539 nucleotides. RefSeq lists it as uncharacterized. NCBI's taxonomy places the organism in Eukaryota, Metazoa, Arthropoda, Arachnida, Scorpiones, Buthidae. The record is from RefSeq and is a predicted model, not a curated record. The transcript is spliced from 4 exons.
UUAGAAAUUAAGGAGAAAUGAUGAAUAUCCUCCUCUUCUUCAAAGUCAAUCAUUGACACUAGCAGUACCAUUUAAAGAACAAAACUUCCAUCGACCUCCAAGUGAAAGAAUUGGAAAUAACUAUUCUCCUUUAGCUAAAGAAUUAAAAAUUCCACUUCUAAGAAAACAUAAAAAAUUGUAUAUACGAAAAUUUUUAAAUUAUGAAGAAAGCAAAAUUUUCAACUUAACAUCAACAAAUCUGGAAGAACAAUGUAGAAUAAAUCUCCUGAGACCAUUAAGUCCAUUGAAGAAAAAGAAGAUUUUGGAAAAAUUGGAAUAUUGUUUUAAGAAGGAACUUUCAAAAGAAGAUAUAAAGAGAUAUUAUUACUACAUCAAAUUUGGAAUUGAUGAUAAAAUGAUUAAUCCAUAUCCUUUCAAUAUAAUGAAAUUUUUAUCAAAAUUACUACAUCCAAAAUUUAAAAAAUUACCAGAAUUUAAACAAUGUGUAGAAGAUUUAAGUAAAGAAAUAGAAGAUAUUUAUAUGCAUUCAAUGAAAAUGU